GACGAACGCUGGCGGCGUGCUUAACACAUGCAAGUCGAACGAAGAGCGAUGGAAGCUUGCUUCUAUCACUCUUAGUGGCGAACGGGUGAGUAACGCGUAAUCAACCUGCCCUUCAGAGGGGGACAACAGUUGGAAACGACUGCUAAUACCGCAUACGAUCUAACCUCGGCAUCGAGGAUGGAUGAAAGGUGGCCUCUAUUUAUAAGCUAUCACUGAAGGAGGGGAUUGCGUCUGAUUAGCUAGUUGGAGGGGUAACGGCCCACCAAGGCGAUGAUCAGUAGCCGGUCUGAGAGGAUGAACGGCCACAUUGGGACUGAGACACGGCCCAGACUCCUACGGGAGGCAGCAGUGGGGAAUCUUCCGCAAUGGACGAAAGUCUGACGGAGCAACGCCGCGUGAGUGAUGACGGCCUUCGGGUUGUAAAGCUCUGUUAAUCGGGACGAAAGGCCUUCUUGCGAAUAGUUAGAAGGAUUGACGGUACCGGAAUAGAAAGCCACGGCUAACUACGUG
This 510-nucleotide ribosomal RNA is filed under the name uncultured bacterium. RNAcentral describes it as "partial 16S ribosomal RNA". It matches the Rfam family "Bacterial small subunit ribosomal RNA", at positions 28 to 507 of the family's 1533-position model. The record is from RNAcentral.